This 889-nucleotide ribosomal RNA is filed under the name bacterium enrichment culture clone PCP100. Its description in RNAcentral is "bacterial SSU rRNA". It matches the Rfam family "Bacterial small subunit ribosomal RNA", at positions 9 to 900 of the family's 1533-position model. The record is from RNAcentral.
GAGUUUGAUCCUGGCUCAGGACGAACGCUGGCGGCGUGCCUAAUACAUGCAAGUCGAACGAACACCGCAAGGUGUUAGUGGCGAACGGGUGAGUAACACGUAAGUAACCAACCUAUAAGACGAGGAUAACUAAUGGAAACGUUAGCUAAAACUGGAUAGGAUACAUAAACGUAAGUAGAUGUAUUUAAAAGUGCUAAGACACUACUUAUAGAUGGGCUUGCGGCGCAUUAGCUAGUUGGUAGGGUAAAGGCCUACCAAGGCAACGAUGCGUAGCCGACCUGAGAGGGUGAACGGCCACACUGGGACUGAGACACGGCCCAGACUCCUACGGGAGGCAGCAGUAGGGAAUCUUCGGCAAUGGACGAAAGUCUGACCGAGCAACGCCGCGUGAGUGAAGAAGGUCUUCGGAUUGUAAAGCUCUGUUAUUAGGGAAGAAAGGUAGUAGUAGGGAAUGACUAUUAAUUGACGGUACCUAAUGAGAAAGCCACGGCUAACUACGUGCCAGCAGCCGCGGUAAUACGUAGGUGGCAAGCGUUGUCCGGAAUUAUUGGGCGUAAAGAGUGCGUAGGCGGUCUGUUAAGUCUUAUUUGAAAGCCCAUGGCUUAACCAUGGAAGGUGAUAGGAAACUGGCAGACUUGAGUACAGGAGAGGAAGGUGGAAUUCCACGUGUAGCGGUGAAAUGCGUAGAUAUGUGGAGGAACACCGGUGGCGAAGGCGGCCUUCUGGCCUGUGUCUGACGCUAAGGCACGAAAGCGUGGGUAGCAAACAGGAUUAGAUACCCUGGUAGUCCACGCCGUANACGAUGAGUACUAAGUGUUGGGGGAAACCUCGGUGCUGAAGUUAACGCAUUAAGUACUCCGCCUGGGAAGUACGGUCGCAAGACUGNAAC